CGCACUUCUCUAAGCCAAUGAUCAUCCACAACCUGAGAACUCCAGCAAGAACCGCUAGGAGAUCUGACGAGAAUUACCUCUCCAUAUGAAGUGUUGAAAAUUCUUCUCAAAGAUUGCAAAACUUGUUAGAGUGUUAUUUGAAUUUCUAAAGAUGAUAAUAAAAUUGUAGAAUUCGAGCAGCACGAGUAAAUACUAGCUCAAAUAAUGUGCGGGUCUAGAAAAAGGAGAAAAAAAGGAUUAUCAAUAUACAUUUGGAGUUAUGACAAAUUUAGUAAAUUGAAUAUAUUUAAAGGAUUGAACGUAAACAAAUUAGCAAAGAAAAAGGUCAUAUUUGCUUGAAUGCUCUACCCUACAAAUGGAUUGAAGCAUUCAAAUUCUAGUCGCAGAAAAUGGGGAAAAAAAAUGUAACUGAAUUAAUCUGUCCCAUCUGUAUCUGACAAAGAACCAAGUUAGAUUUACAGAUGAAGAAAAAAAGGAAAUAAACAAAAUUUUUGCUUUUUGCAAACAAAUUAAACCGAAAAGUGAAUUUAUGGUGUUAGGUGUAGGGAGUAUUAUACGUAGUUAUAGGUAAAAAAUAAUUUUUUAUAUAUUUUUCAAUUAUCAUUAGCUUUUAGGCAUUUUAUUUAACAAAAUAGUUAAUUGUUGAUUUUUAAAUUUUUGAUAAGAAUAGUUCAUUGUUGUAUUUCUAUAGAUUAGAGGAUGUAUAAAUGGUCUAGAGUGACCAGCUACUAGUUUUAUGGAAUAAUUUCUGACAUAUGAAUUUAAUGAGUUUAUUGUGUAGAUAUCAUUUAAUGUUUGUAACAGAUGAAGGAAUGAUAAUAUUUUUAAGUUGUAGGAACUACUUACUAAUAUUAUAGGAUGAGAAAUGUUCUCUCCGUAAGAUUAACUUUGUCAUCAAUACCCAACAUAAGGUACCAAAAGGCUGCCUAACCGUACAAAAAACCUCUGUGCACCCAAGCCUUAUUUUCUAGUUAACAACCUACCACCAACUACACUAAACAGACGUUCAAUGACAAACCUCGUAACAACCAUUCUACAACUUCUUCAUAAUUUGAUGAAAGUCAAAAAAUACCAUCUUCAUUGCCAAAUACAUGCAACCAUUCUCUUCAACUUUCCCCAACUCCUCCUGUUUUGCUCCCUCGAAUGCCACACCACAUCUUACAUCCAGCAUAUCUCGAACCAGAGAAUUUUGAAUCCAGGCUUCAAAAUCACUAACCAUCGCCCGACUAGCAGUCUCCACACCAGACAUGGCAUCGACGGACUUGCAACAACCCAGAAAGGUAUUCGUUGUUUUGAUGAUAAUAAUAGUGCUUUUUCCUGUUUUUCGCUUGUCUCUGAGAUGCAGAUGCCUGCCCUUUUAGCACAUUUGCAAAGUGUGUACGCAAACCUUCCCUCCCAUUCGCUAUCUGCAGCACUUGAGAAAGUCAUCUCUUUCUCAAUUCCACGAGUCAAAAAUCGCAAAUCCUAAUUUAAUUUUCCUCUUCCAAAUGAGCUCCAAGAUUAUACCUCUUUUAUCUCAUACACGUCAGAUAGAUGGUAUUUUUGCGUUAAAAU
RNAcentral lists this long non-coding RNA (1554 nucleotides) under Jatropha curcas. Its description in RNAcentral is "long non-coding RNA (JCUR_LNC002822)". The record is from RNAcentral. Lineage: Eukaryota; Viridiplantae; Streptophyta; Magnoliopsida; Malpighiales; Euphorbiaceae.